Molecule: ribosomal RNA, 323 nt
Filed under: uncultured eukaryote
Lineage: Eukaryota
Description: partial 18S ribosomal RNA
Rfam family: Eukaryotic small subunit ribosomal RNA
Source: RNAcentral
GCCCUUAGAUGUUCUGGGCCGCACGCGUGCUACACUGAGUGGAUCAGCGGGUCAGGUUGCGCGAAAGUGUUUCCUAAUCUUGAAAUCCGCUCGUGAUGGGGAUUGACGGUUGCAAUUUUCCGUCAUGAACGAGGAAUACCUUGUAAGCGCGGGUCAUCAUCCCGCGCUGAAUACGUCCCUGCCCUUUGUACACACCGCCCGUCGCUCCUACCGAUUGAGUGGUCCGGUGAGGCUUUGGGAUCUGAGCGGAAAGAGCGUUUCGCUGUUUCUGCUCGGAAAACUCAGUCGAACCUUAUCAUUUAGAGGAAGGAGAAGUCGUAACA